GUGGGGAAUAUUGCGCAAUGGGCGAAAGCCUGACGCAGCGACGCCGCGUGAGGGAUGAAGGUUUUCGGAUCGUAAACCUCUGUCAGAAGGGAAGAAACUACGUUGUGCUAAUCAGCAGCGUACUGACGGUACCUUCAAAGGAAGCACCGGCUAACUCCGUGCCAGCAGCCGCGGUAAUACGUAGGGUGCAAGCGUUAAUCGGAAUUACUGGGCGUAAAGCGCACGUAGGCUGUAGUGUAAGUCAGGGGUGAAAUACCACGGCUCAACCGUGGAACUGCCUUGGAUACUGCACAACUUGAAUCCGGGAGAGGGUGGCGGAAUUCCAGGUGUAGGAGUGAAAUCCGUAUAUAUCUGGAGGAACAUCAGUGGCGACGGCGGCCACCUGGACCGGUAUUGACGCUGAGGUGCGAAAGCGUGGGGAGCAAACAGGAUUAGAAACCCUUGUAGUCC
This 450-nucleotide ribosomal RNA is filed under the name uncultured bacterium. Its description in RNAcentral is "partial 16S ribosomal RNA". It matches the Rfam family "Bacterial small subunit ribosomal RNA", at positions 354 to 796 of the family's 1533-position model. The record is from RNAcentral.